AACACUCACAACGUGGCCUUUUCCUCAGCGGGACCAUUAAUUAUGUCUUUCACUCCUCUGCCAGUCUGUGGAUCCUCACCAAGCCUGUCAGAACAUAAUUCUCUUCAGAUUCCUAUUAUUACUGUCAAAUUUGGUUCAAAUUGCCUCGUAAGGUAUAAAUGACGAGGGAAGACUCACUGGCUGUCUCAGGCACAGGGAGUGUGAUUGCAUAAACCUCUUUUCUUCAGGAAACCAGGCUUACGGAAACCAAAAUACCCUUUUUUUUUUGUUUGUUUCUCUGGAGCUCAGCACAUUCAUCCUGGCAUCGCUGAGGGACGGCAGCGACGCAGCCGCCACGGCAACCCUCCGGCAGGCAGCGGCAUCCAUGGAUUGCUCCCUCCAGGGAUGCUCGCCCGUGGUCUCGGAGCCUCGGAGUGCUGCUGAAAACCCCUCCUGGCAGAAGCCCACAACGAAUGACCUGUCCUUGAGUCACAGGAAAAGCUCCUGAACAAACCCAGCCCUGAAUUUUUCGCUGAGCUGGAAGCACAUGCAAACUCCAUCCUGGCCCUUUGGAUGCUGCAGCCACAAGAUUUACCCACCGUGGUGGAGGAUCUGCGCGGGAGGUGGUCCGAAAGCCCCCAAACUUGUUGCACGCAGGAUGCUUCGGUGCCAACAGCUGGUCUUUGUCAGACGAGGGACUUUGGAAGGGAACGAGCAUCCUACCUCUGACAUCUCCACUGAGCCGUAUUAUUAGUUUUGGCGAUUAAAUAGAAACCCGUUUGCAGGUGACAAUGCUGUAAAAAUAAGUAGGUACCAGAGCCGACAUUGUGAAAAUACGGCAGGAGAACAGAGCUCAGGCAGCAUACAUAAUCUGUGGGGAAAUAAGUGUGUGAAUAAUGAAUGUGCACUGGAAAAAUAAAAUACAUUAUUGUGGUAAA
Long non-coding RNA from Aquila chrysaetos chrysaetos, 917 nucleotides. RefSeq lists it as uncharacterized. The transcript is spliced from 2 exons. The record is from RefSeq and is a predicted model, not a curated record. NCBI's taxonomy places the organism in Eukaryota, Metazoa, Chordata, Aves, Accipitriformes, Accipitridae.